AAUAACCUGGACCCAUAAAAAAGAAUACAGGGUCUUCUGAUUACUAUAUAAUAGUUAAAACUUUCAACAACGGAUCUCUUGGUUCUGGCAUCGAUGAAGAACGCAGCGAAAUGCGAUAAGUAAUGUGAAUUGCAGAAUUCAGUGAAUCAUCGAAUCUUUGAACGCACAUUGCGCCCCUUGGUAUUCCGGGGGGCAUGCCUCUUCCAGCGUCAUUUCACCCCUCAAGCUCUGCUUGGUUUUGGGCCGCGCCAGCAACGGCGGGCCUCGAAAAUAGUGGCGACGCCAUCGUGCUCUCAGCGUAGUAAUUCUUCUCGCUGUUGGGUCCCGGUGGUUGGUCCGCCAGCAACCCUCAACUUUCUUAAGUUUGACCUGGGAUGAGGUAGGGAUACCCGCUGAACUUAAGCAUAUCAAUAAGCGGAGGAACAG
Molecule: ribosomal RNA, 426 nt
Filed under: Helotiales sp. osu_besc_29d
Lineage: Eukaryota; Fungi; Ascomycota; Leotiomycetes; Helotiales
Description: eukaryotic LSU rRNA
Rfam family: 5.8S ribosomal RNA (bases 59-212)
Source: RNAcentral